This 207-nucleotide ribosomal RNA is filed under the name uncultured delta proteobacterium. Its description in RNAcentral is "partial 16S ribosomal RNA". It matches the Rfam family "Bacterial small subunit ribosomal RNA", at positions 568 to 774 of the family's 1533-position model. The record is from RNAcentral. Lineage: Bacteria; Deltaproteobacteria.
CGCGUAGGCGGUUUUAUAAGUCAGAUGUGAAAGCCCAUGGCUCAACCAUGGACGUGCAUUUGAAACUGUGAGACUUGAGUAUUGGAGGGGGUGGUGGAAUUCCCGGUGUAGAGGUGAAAUUCGUAGAUAUCGGGAGGAAUACCAGUGGCGAAGGCGACCACCUGGCCAAAUACUGACGCUAAUGUGCGAAAGCGUGGGGAGCAAACA